CCUGUUCUUUCCACUUCUGGGGCUGUGACUUGAGUUUCUCCGCAGGAGCAGAUAGUGUUUGUGUAGGGACUGCGGACUUUUGCAUUACAGCCUCCCUGCUUUGCCCGCCUGCUGCUGGAAGCUUAGCAGGUGAGGAAAGAGGACUUCCUGUAUAUCUCUAUCCUUUUGUUUCCAUUACUCACUUUCUGUGGCUGCUGCUGCAGAAGCCACUGCUGACUGAUGUGGAUACCUCAAUCUUUGGUUUACAAAAAGCCUAGGUGUCUUUUGGCCUCUCUCCAGGUUGAUAGCCAUGGCUCCUGAAAGAAAUAAAAGAUGAUCAUCUUUCUA
Long non-coding RNA from Homo sapiens (human), 327 nucleotides. Ensembl annotates it as HLA complex group 18. Its record names the gene HCG18. The record is from Ensembl. Lineage: Eukaryota; Metazoa; Chordata; Mammalia; Primates; Hominidae.